CAAACGGAUCACCUCCACUUUCUCCUUCGGUAAAACAGACGCCUUCGGGAAGAAGUUCUCGCGUCUGUUUCACUUCGAAGAAAAUGUCUGAUAUUGACAGACAAGCUCGCCGAGAAGCUCAUCUUGACAAGAAGCGAGAAGCGGAACGAAAGCAGAUAUAAAUUGAGAAAGAUGUGGAGGAGGCAAGAAAAAAGAAAGAAAUGGCAAAGAUGUCAAUUCUGAAGAAAAGAGAAGAAGACAGAGGUGAGGGAGAAAGAAGUGGAAAAUAAGAAGAACUAAAAAGAAUAGAAGAAGAGGAACAAGGAAAAGAGAUAGAGAGUGAAGAGAAACAGAAAGAAGGGGAUGGUAAAGAUAAAGAAAUGGAUAUAGUUCCUCCCUCCGAACCUUCAGCUGUAG
Molecule: long non-coding RNA, 396 nt
Filed under: Ananas comosus (pineapple)
Lineage: Eukaryota; Viridiplantae; Streptophyta; Magnoliopsida; Poales; Bromeliaceae
Description: long non-coding RNA (ACOM_LNC020142)
Source: RNAcentral